AAAGCCCACACAUGAUUCUUCAGUUUCUUUUCCUGUGCCACAGCAACCAAGAAGGUCACAUGUUCCAGAAGCUGCAGCUAUAAGCACAAGCGAAAAAUAAACUUCUGUGGUGCAAAGUCACUGAGAUUCAGGAGUUGUUGCCAAAGCGGAGCCGAGCUCAGUGGUUCCCAGUCUGGUCCCAGCCACCACGUAAGAUGUUCCUUUGCUCUUCCUUCAUCUUCC
This 222-nucleotide long non-coding RNA is filed under the name Homo sapiens (human). Its description in RNAcentral is "HSALNT0297936". The record is from RNAcentral. Lineage: Eukaryota; Metazoa; Chordata; Mammalia; Primates; Hominidae.